This 450-nucleotide ribosomal RNA is filed under the name uncultured bacterium. Its description in RNAcentral is "bacterial SSU rRNA". It matches the Rfam family "Bacterial small subunit ribosomal RNA", at positions 29 to 524 of the family's 1533-position model. The record is from RNAcentral.
AACGAACGCUGGCGGCAUGCCUAACACAUGCAAGUCGAACGAGACCUUCGGGUCUAGUGGCGCACGGGUGCGUAACGCGUGGGAAUCUGCCCUUAGGUUCGGAAUAACUUCGGGAAACUGAAGCUAAUACCGGAUGAUGACGUAAGUCCAAAGAUUUAUCGCCUAAGGAUGAGCCCGCGUAGGAUUAGCUAGUUGGUGAGGUAAAGGCUCACCAAGGCGACGAUCCUUAGCUGGUCUGAGAGGAUGAUCAGCCACACUGGGACUGAGACACGGCCCAGACUCCUACGGGAGGCAGCAGUGGGGAAUAUUGGACAAUGGGCGAAAGCCUGAUCCAGCAAUGCCGCGUGAGUGAUGAAGGCCUUAGGGUUGUAAAGCUCUUUACCCGUAGAUGAUAAUGACAGUAUCGGGAGAAUAAGCUCCGGCUAACUCCGUGCCAGCAGCCGCGGUAAU